Cannabis sativa is the source of this 82-nucleotide small nucleolar RNA. RefSeq annotates it as small nucleolar RNA snoR128. Lineage: Eukaryota; Viridiplantae; Streptophyta; Magnoliopsida; Rosales; Cannabaceae. The transcript has a single exon. The record is from RefSeq and is a predicted model, not a curated record.
UUGCUAUGAUGAGACCAGGAAGUGAUGAAAGUUCAAACUUAUUUGCUUUAUGAAACAUUAUCCUGAGCGGUUAACUGAGCAA